GACGAACGCUGGCGGCGUGCUUAACACAUGCAAGUCGAACGGAAAGGCCCUGCUUGCAGGGUGCUCGAGUGGCGAACGGGUGAGUAACACGUGGGUGAUCUGCCCCUUACUUUGGGAUAAGCCUGGGAAACUGGGUCUAAUACUGGAUAGGACCAUGCUGUAGGUGGUGUGGUGGAAAGAUUAGUUUCGGUAAGGGAUGAGCUCGCGGCCUAUCAGCUGGUUGGUGGGGUAAUGGCCUACCAAGGCGUCGACGGGUAGCCGGCCUGAGAGGGUGGACGGCCGCAUUGGGACUGAGAGACGGCGCAGACUCCUACGGUAGGCAGCAGUGGGGAAUAGGGGACAAUGGGCGCAAGCCUGAUGCAGCGACGCCGCGUGGGGGAUGGCGGCCUUCGGGUUGUAAGCUCCUUUCAGCCAUGACGAAGCCCUUGUGGUGACGGUAGUGGUAGAAGAAGCACCGGCUAACUACGUG
This 469-nucleotide ribosomal RNA is filed under the name uncultured bacterium. RNAcentral describes it as "partial 16S ribosomal RNA". It matches the Rfam family "Bacterial small subunit ribosomal RNA", at positions 28 to 507 of the family's 1533-position model. The record is from RNAcentral.